AAGAAAUUAGUUUAUUAAAACAUUAACUUGUCAAGUUAAAAAUACUAUUAGUAUUUCUUA
RNAcentral lists this transfer RNA (60 nucleotides) under Yemmalysus parallelus. RNAcentral describes it as "tRNA-Asp". It matches the Rfam family "tRNA". Rfam says of the family: Transfer RNA (tRNA) molecules are approximately 80 nucleotides in length. Their secondary structure includes four short double-helical elements and three loops (D, anti-codon, and T loops). Further hydrogen bonds mediate the characteristic L-shaped molecular structure. tRNAs have two regions of fundamental functional importance: the anti-codon, which is responsible for specific mRNA codon recognition, and the 3' end, to which the tRNAs corresponding amino acid is attached (by aminoacyl-tRNA synthetases). tRNAs cope with the degeneracy of the genetic code in two manners: having more than one tRNA (with a specific anti-codon) for a particular amino acid; and 'wobble' base-pairing, i.e. permitting non-standard base-pairing at the 3rd anti-codon position. The record is from RNAcentral. RNAcentral also lists the same sequence under 1 other name. Lineage: Eukaryota; Metazoa; Arthropoda; Insecta; Hemiptera; Berytidae.